CCUACGGGAGGCAGCAGUGAGGAAUAUUGGUCAAUGGGCGCGAGCCUGAACCAGCCAAGUCGCGUGAGGGAAGACGGUCCUAUGGAUUGUAAACCUCUUUUGUCGGGGAGCAAAAGACGCCACGCGUGGCGUUCCGAGAGUACCCUACGACCAAGCAUCGGCUAACUCCGUGCCAGCAGCCGCGGUAAUACGGAGGAUGCGAGCGUUAUCCGGAUUUAUUGGGUUUAAAGGGUGCGCAGGCGGAAGAUCAAGUCAGCGGUAAAAUUGAGGGGCUCAACCUCUUCGAGCCGUUGAAACUGGUUGUCUUGAGUGAGUGAGAAGGAUGCGGAAUGCGUGGUGUAGCGGUGAAAUGCAUAGAUAUCACGCAGAACUCCGAUUGCGAAGGCAGCAUACCGGCGCUCAACUGACGCUCAUGCACGAAAGUGUGGGUAUCGAACAGGAUUAGAUACCCUUGUAGUC
Molecule: ribosomal RNA, 459 nt
Filed under: uncultured bacterium
Lineage: Bacteria
Description: partial 16S ribosomal RNA
Rfam family: Bacterial small subunit ribosomal RNA
Source: RNAcentral